GCGGGAGUGGCGGAAUAGGCAGACGCGCAGGUUUUAGGUACCUGUGCCUUCGGGCGUGGGGGUUCAAGUCCCCCCUCCCGCACCA
This 85-nucleotide transfer RNA is filed under the name Natronosporangium hydrolyticum. RNAcentral's name for it is "Micromonosporaceae bacterium DSM 106523 tRNA-Leu". It matches the Rfam family "tRNA". Rfam says of the family: Transfer RNA (tRNA) molecules are approximately 80 nucleotides in length. Their secondary structure includes four short double-helical elements and three loops (D, anti-codon, and T loops). Lineage: Bacteria; Bacillati; Actinomycetota; Actinomycetes; Micromonosporales; Micromonosporaceae. The record is from RNAcentral.